This 531-nucleotide ribosomal RNA is filed under the name uncultured bacterium. RNAcentral describes it as "bacterial SSU rRNA". It matches the Rfam family "Bacterial small subunit ribosomal RNA", at positions 8 to 526 of the family's 1533-position model. The record is from RNAcentral.
AGAGUUUGAUCAUGGCUCAGGACGAACGCUGACGGUGUGCUUUAGACAUGCAAGUCGAACGAGAAAGCCCUUCGGGGUGAGUACAGUGGCGAACGGGUGAGUAACACGUGGGCAAUCUGCCCCUCGCAGGGGGACAACCGGGGGAAACCCCGGCUAAUACUCCGUACGCUUGUUGAGUCGCAUGGCUCUACAAGGAAAGGUAGCUUCGGCCAUCCGGCGAGGGAUGAGCCCGCGGUGCAUUAGCUAGUUGGUGAGGUAACGGCUUACCAAGGCGACGAUGCAUAGCUGGUCUGAGAGGAUGAUCAGCCACACUGGGACUGAGACACGGCCCAGACUCCUACGGGAGGCAGCAGUCGGGAAUCUUGCGCAAUGGGCGAAAGCCUGACGCAGCAACACCGUGUGAGCGACGAAGGCCUUCGGGUCGUAAAGCUCUGUUGUUGGGGACGAAGGGUUAGGGGUUAAUAGCCCCGAGCCUGACGGUACCCUUCGAGGAAGCCCCGGCUAACUACGUGCCAGCAGCGGCGGUAAUAC